Molecule: long non-coding RNA, 235 nt
Filed under: Cicer arietinum (chickpea)
Lineage: Eukaryota; Viridiplantae; Streptophyta; Magnoliopsida; Fabales; Fabaceae
Description: long non-coding RNA (CARI_LNC000217)
Source: RNAcentral
CUUUUCCAAAAGAUGACCCAAAAUAAAACUCUAGACUUUUUUCUUAUCAAAUUCUUGAUCACCUUUAGUUUUCCAUUCACCUCCUCCUAAUGCAUGCACCAAAAUGAUUUAGAACCGUACUUUUACCAUGAAUUUGAGAAAGGACGAAGAAACAAAGAUGAGAUUGUUGAUGAGUGUUUUAUUGAGAGAGAAAAAAGAGUGAAAGAAUAGAUUGGAGAGUUUUGUUGAAAAUGAG